This 2888-nucleotide long non-coding RNA is filed under the name Homo sapiens (human). Its description in RNAcentral is "HSALNT0350993". Lineage: Eukaryota; Metazoa; Chordata; Mammalia; Primates; Hominidae. The record is from RNAcentral.
GGAUCUGCAAUUGUAUUCCUGUUUCAAGCCCCGUUUUCUUGCAGCUCUUCGGCACUGCAAACCUAACCGCUAAUGGCGCUGUGGGUGGAGAAACGUUUGUUAGGUAGCGUUAUAUAUUGUUAUCUGGUGUUCCCUAUACCGAAAACGGCGGGUCCUGGCCGCCGGGAGGUACUCAGACCAGGUGUGCACUUUACAUGUUGCUUAAAAAUUGCAACUCAUUCCUUUACAUUGACAUUUAAACCAGUGAUUCUAAGGCAGAGUUGGGGCGGAGGGAGGAGAAUUUUGAACAAGCGGAGCCAAUUUUCGUCUCAUUUCUAAUUACAGGCAACAACAGAAUUCUGCGAAACUUGGUUGGUUGGAGGAGCACACCAAAAAUAAAGUACCGGAGCCGGCACGGCUUCAAAAAAAUUAGGAUCAGUACCGCUAGUAGCGAACGCAUAAGAAGGGCUUCCUGUAUGCCUGCGUAUCUUGUUUAAGCCUAAAGAUAUGUACUCUCUUUAUCCUCUUUUUUUGAGACGAGGAAGUAGACCCAGCAUGCCCGAGAUCACACAUUUUACAAGGAAGAAGUAGGAUCCAGACCCAGGGAGUUUAACUUCAAAACUUGAACGUUUAACAAUCAGGUCUUGCUGCCCUACUCAUAAAGAGACCCAAAUAAAAACAACAUGACGCCAUUUUUUUCCAUGUGUUUAGACUGGCAAACUUGUGAAGUCGCUUAAUACCAAAUGUGUACCAAGAUGUAAGGAAAUGAUGUGAGAAUGUCAUUAGUAUAACCUUUUAGGAGGAGUAAUUUGACAAUAUGAGAGGCUUGAGCGGAUUGAUUCAGCAAUUUCACCACUAAGAAAGUAUGCAACAAUUAUUUUUGCACCAAUAUCCAAAGAUUUACUACAAAGAUUUCUGGCAGCAAUUUUUGUGUGUGUGUGGCAAGAAAAAAAAAAGCAUUCUAAUUGUCCAUCGAUAGAGGAACUUAAAGUAUGGAAUAUUAAUACAAUGGCAUAUUACCCUUUUUAAAAAAAGUAAAUUGUAUCUGAAUAUGCUGAUAUAUAAAUACCUCCAAAAGGUAUUGAGUUUUAAACAAAGCAACUUGCAGAAUUAAACAUAUGCGUACGUAUACAGAGAGAGAAGAGAGAGGGAUGGUAUUUGUUUGCGUCCGUGUGUGUGUGUGUGUGUGUGUGUGUGUGUGUGUGUGUUUGCGCAGAACAUUCCUGGAGGAUAUGCAAGAAACUGUUAAUGAUUACCUCUGGUGGGUGAGCCUAGGAAGGAAAGCUUCUGAGGAUCUUUACUUUCCACAUUUAGCUUCCCUGUACUGUGCUGUUUGAAUAUUUUUCCAAUGAAUGUAUACUAUAAUUAUAGUAUUAUAACAGUACAAGAUUAUAACAGUACAAGAUUACUAUAAAAUUAAUUACAAAUAAAAGCUGAGAAUCACUUUUGCACCUAAACCUUUUGAAUUUAGGGGUGAAAGUCACAGGAGAGACUGGAAAGGGAGGAAGAAAAGAAAAACAUUUUUCUCUUUGCUUCCAUGAAGCCACAAAGUGCUUUGAAUAGUGCCUGGCAUAAAGUAAGCCCUAUAUAAACGCUAAUGCUGUUAGUUUUUCUCCUACCUCUUUCACUACUUCUCCUCAGUCUUCUUCCCUUCUAGCUGACCUCUAACUUUAGAGUUCCUCAUAUUUUGGCCAGUGAGGAGAAUCCUGUUUAUUCCUGUGGCUUUAAAUAACAUCUGUGUAUCUAUAAUUCUCAAAUUGAAAUCCAAGUCCUGACCUUACCCCUGUGCUCCAGACUCAUGUCUACCCGCUGAUUUGUCAUCUCAUUUUAAUGGUUCAUACACAUCUUAAAUUUAACACAUCCAAACCCUUGAUCUCACCGCCUUCCCCAAACUUCUUUGGGUCUUCUCCGUGUCAAUCAAUGGCAUCACCAUCCAGUCCAAAACCUAGAGUUCAGCCUUAGUUCCUCCCUCUCCUUUACCUCUCAUACCAACAGCAAGUCCUACUGUUUUUACCCCCAAAUACAUCUUGAAUCUAUGUUCUUUCCUGCUUUACUGCAUACUCCCUAGGCCAGAACACUAUGAUUGCUUCUCAGAACUACUGCAGUAGUCUUCCAUGCUUCUGUUCCAUUCUUGCUCCUUACAAUCUCUUCAUACUGUUGCCAGAGAGAUUUUUAAAAAAUACAUAAAUCAUAUCAUGUCUCACCCCUGCUAUAUCAAUUAUAUGCUUUCAAUGCAAAUAACUGAAACCUCAGCUAAAAGAAACCUAAACUAUAAGGACAUUUAUUGUGUAUGUAACAAAAAGAAUGAUCCCAGGAUAGGCUUAGCAGUUUGAAGAUGUCAUUAAAUAUUCAGGUUCAGGCCAGGCGUGGUAGCCUACACCUGUAAUCCCAGCACUUUGUGAGGCCAAGGCGGGUGGAUCACUUGAGGCCAGGAGUUCGAGACUAGCCUGGCCAACAUGGCAAAACCCCGUCUCUACUGAAAAUACAAAAAUUAGGCAGACCUGGUGGUGCAUGCCUGUAAUCCCAGCUACCCGGGAGGUGGAGGUUGCAGUGAGCUGAGAUCACAGCAUUGUACUCCACCUGGGUGACAGAGCGAGACUGUGUCGCAAAAGAAAGAAAGGAAAGGAAGGGAAAGGAAAAGGAGGGGAGGGGAGGGGAGGGGAAGGGAAGGGAAGGAAAGGAAAAGGAAAGGAAGAUUCAGGUUCUUUCAAUCCCUAUCCCUCCUCCCCAGCAUCCUAAAUCUGUUUACUUUCAUCUUCAGGCUUCUUACAUCAUGGUUGCAGGAUGGCUGCUACAGCUCUGGACAUCACAUCAAAAUAUGGCAGAAGCUAAAGCAGGAAGACAGAGAAGGAGGCAAAACAGCUUUAUUCACUUGUGGCUCUCAUAUGAAGAAUAAAGAUAUUUCUCGA